AGUUUUGUAGUUAAAAAAAUAAUAAAAAGUUUGAAACUUUUAGUUGGAGGGUGGACUCCCAUACUUA
Molecule: transfer RNA, 67 nt
Filed under: Polycarpa mytiligera
Lineage: Eukaryota; Metazoa; Chordata; Ascidiacea; Stolidobranchia; Styelidae
Description: transfer RNA-Ser(UCN)
Source: RNAcentral